GCAGUUGUAGCCGAGUGGUUAAGGCGAUAGACUUGAAAUCUAUUGGGCUCUGCCAGCGCAGGUUUGAAUCCUGCCGACUGCG
Molecule: transfer RNA, 82 nt
Filed under: Capitella teleta
Lineage: Eukaryota; Metazoa; Annelida; Polychaeta; Capitellidae
Description: tRNA-Ser for anticodon UGA
Rfam family: tRNA
About the family: Transfer RNA (tRNA) molecules are approximately 80 nucleotides in length. Their secondary structure includes four short double-helical elements and three loops (D, anti-codon, and T loops).
Source: Rfam by way of RNAcentral